This is a long non-coding RNA of Canis lupus familiaris (dog), 418 nucleotides long. RefSeq lists it as uncharacterized. The transcript has 3 exons. The record is from RefSeq and is a predicted model, not a curated record. Lineage: Eukaryota; Metazoa; Chordata; Mammalia; Carnivora; Canidae.
GCAGGUGGCUCUGCAAUGUUCUUCAACUACUCUACUUCCAUCUCUCCUUGAUUCUUUGAAAUAUCUGGUAUUUUUUUUGAAAUAUCUGGUAUUAAUGUGACCAGCCAUCAGUACACAGUGAUAUUACUCAAAACAGCAUGCAGGAGGCACUUGGUAGAUGUUAACAGACACUGACUGCUGACGAACGCUCACCUCCACAAAUCCCAUUGGGAUCAACCCCCUCGCUGAGCUCCUGGAGCCAUCGAUGUUUGUGUCUCUCCCUGGAAUCUGGCACCACACCAUUGUACCUUUAUCUCAGGAAUAUUAUACCCCACAUGAGGAAACUGAGGCUACUCACCUGAGAUGACACAGCUACCAAGUAAUGGGACUAUGAUUUUUAACGUGGAUUCUGACUCCAGAGCCUGCUACUAAUCUAUGC